This is a non-coding RNA of Heterocephalus glaber (naked mole-rat), 339 nucleotides long. The record is from RefSeq and is a predicted model, not a curated record. NCBI's taxonomy places the organism in Eukaryota, Metazoa, Chordata, Mammalia, Rodentia, Bathyergidae.
UGGGGCAUGACCUUGGUGACUAUAUCUGUCCCAGGCCCAGUUUUUUCUGGCUGUUUCCCUUACUCUCUGCUGCCUGGCUGUCUGAGAUGAGCACCUACCCUCUACUAUGCCCCUCCGCCACAAAAGCAAUGAAGCCAAGUAACUGUAAACUGAAACCUCUGAAACUGAGCUGCAUGAAGUUGGAAGAGAGAGACAUGGAGUCUAGAAAGACAGAAGUAAAGGAAAGUUGAUGGAAUGGUAGACCACAGAUGGAAAGAGCAGGAGCUCUGAAUGAAAGCAGGGGAGGAGAGGACCUCACUGACCUGUGUAUCUACCCAGGAAUGUCAUGCAGUAAGCAAU